RNAcentral lists this ribosomal RNA (649 nucleotides) under Reddellomyces donkii. Its description in RNAcentral is "eukaryotic LSU rRNA". It matches the Rfam family "Eukaryotic large subunit ribosomal RNA", at positions 88 to 753 of the family's 3401-position model. Lineage: Eukaryota; Fungi; Ascomycota; Pezizomycetes; Pezizales; Tuberaceae. The record is from RNAcentral.
GGCGAGUGAAGCGGCAAGAGCUCAAAUUUGAAAUCUGGCGCCGCGAGGCGUCCGAGUUGUAAUUUGGAGAGGCAUCUUCCGGUGGGGCCCCAGCCUAUGUUCCUUGGGACAGGACGUCAUAGAGGGUGAGAAUCCCGUUCAUGGUCGGGUGCCCCCACCUGCAUGUAGUGUCUUCUACGAGUCGAGUUGUUUGGGAAUGCAGCUCAAAAUGGGUGGUAAAUUUCAUCUAAAGCUAAAUAUUGGCGAGAGACCGAUAGCGCACAAGUAGAGUGAUCGAAAGAUGAAAAGCACUUUGAAAAUAGAGUCAAACAGUACGUGAAAUUGUUGAAAGGGAAGCGCUUGAGACCAGACUCAGCCUAGGGCAAACAUCCUUCCUUCUGGUUGGUGCACUUGCCCAUGGCUGGGCCAGCAUCAGUUGGGACGACGGGAUAAAUGUCUGGGGAAUGUGGCUCCCCUCGGGGAGUGUUAUAGCCCCGGACACCAUGCCGUCCGUCCCGACUGAGGACCGCGCUCCGGCUAGGAUGCUGGCGUAAUGGUCUUCAGCGACCCGUCUUGAAACACGGACCAAGGAGUCUAACAUCCAUGCGAGUGUUUGGGCUUCAAACCCUUACGCGUAAUGAAAGUGAACGGAGGUGGGAACCCCGCGAGG